Long non-coding RNA from Varroa destructor (honeybee mite), 479 nucleotides. RefSeq lists it as uncharacterized. The record is from RefSeq and is a predicted model, not a curated record. Lineage: Eukaryota; Metazoa; Arthropoda; Arachnida; Mesostigmata; Varroidae.
AUUCCCCCUUUAUUGUAUGGCAAAAACGAAUAGGUGAAAGAAUCUGAUGGCUUUUCGCUAAUCGAACAUUGUAACGAUAACCGGUAUAGGAUGCGCUUCGAUUUAGGACUUUAACGACAAAUGCAGACAAUUACGUGACCCACCAAGCUAUCACGGGAACAUCGAACGGGAACAGCCUGAAUGAUCUUAUCCAUUACGGUGUAUGAAAAAAAUGGUACUGGAAGGAUGCUAAACGCACCGAUGGGCAAACGGCCGCUUCGUAAGGGUUCAAAAAAAAACAAGACGUCUAAACACGCAGUGGCAAUCGCUUUGUCGAAGACGUUUCAGAACGAACUUCAGGUCUUUCAUGGAUAAAAAUUCCGCACCUUUUCACUGGCAAGUUACUAAUCAUCUGACAGUUAGUCAACGGGCACUUUAAAGUCGUCUGCGCUCCAUGUGAAAAAUACGGCAGGGAUAGGCGUAGAGAGUAGGUUCGUGAG